Equus caballus (horse) is the source of this 153-nucleotide non-coding RNA. The record is from Rfam. NCBI's taxonomy places the organism in Eukaryota, Metazoa, Chordata, Mammalia, Perissodactyla, Equidae.
CUUUCCUGAGCUGGAAUGAGGCCAGGUAGAGUGGUAUGUGAUAUCCUUCUUAUUCCCAUGCAGAUGUCUGUGGCUUCUCUUUCCUUUGGUCAAAUCUGAUUUGUCUUUCUUCUUGGUUAAUACCCCCAGGGUGCUCCAGGCUUCUUCUGCCUG